Molecule: ribosomal RNA, 514 nt
Filed under: uncultured bacterium
Lineage: Bacteria
Description: bacterial SSU rRNA
Rfam family: Bacterial small subunit ribosomal RNA
Source: RNAcentral
GAUCAUGGCUCAGGAUGAACGCUAGCUACAGGCUUAACACAUGCAAGUCGAGGGGCAGCAUGAGAUUAGCUUGCUAAUCUUGAUGGCGGCCGGCGCACGGGUGAGUAACGCGUAUCCAACCUUCCCUUAGUAGGGCAUAGCCCGGCGAAAGUCGGAUUAAUACCCUAUGUUAUUCGUAGAGGACAUCUGAAAUGAAUCAAAGGUUUACCGCUAAGGGAUGGGGAUGCGUCUGAUUAGGUAGUCGGCGGGGUAACGGCCCACCGAGCCUGCGAUCAGUAGGGGUUCUGAGAGGAAGGUCCCCCACAUUGGAACUGAGACACGGUCCAAACUCCUACGGGAGGCAGCAGUGAGGAAUAUUGGUCAAUGGGCGCGAGCCUGAACCAGCCAAGUAGCGUGCAAGGAUGACGGCCCUAUGGGUUGUAAACUGCUUUUAUGCGGGGAUAAAGUGCACCACGUGUGGUGUUUUGUAGGUACCGCAUGAAUAAGGACCGGCUAAUUCCGUGCCAGCAGCGGC